RNAcentral lists this ribosomal RNA (484 nucleotides) under uncultured bacterium. RNAcentral describes it as "partial 16S ribosomal RNA". It matches the Rfam family "Bacterial small subunit ribosomal RNA", at positions 30 to 507 of the family's 1533-position model. The record is from RNAcentral.
AUUGAACGCUGGCGGCAGGCCUAACACAUGCAAGUCGAGCGGAUGAAGGGAGCUUGCUCCUGGAUUCAGCGGCGGACGGGUGAGUAAUGCCUAGGAAUCUGCCUGGUAGUGGGGGAUAACGUCCGGAAACGGGCGUUAAUACCGCAUACGUCCUGAGGGAGAAAGUGGGGGAUCUUCGGACCUCACGCUAUCAGAUGAGCCUAGGUCGGAUUAGCUAGUUGGUGGGGUAAAGGCCUACCAAGGCGACGAUCCGUAACUGGUCUGAGAGGAUGAUCAGUCACACUGGAACUGAGACACGGUCCAGACUCCUACGGGAGGCAGCAGUGGGGAAUAUUGGACAAUGGGCGAAAGCCUGAUCCAGCCAUGCCGCGUGUGUGAAGAAGGUCUUCGGAUUGUAAAGCACUUUAAGUUGGGAGGAAGGGCAGCAAGUUAAUACCUUGCUGUUUUGACGUUACCAACAGAAUAAGCACCGGCUAACUUCGUG